UACGAAGGGGGCUAGCGUUGCUCGGAAUUACUGGGCGUAAAGGGCGCGUAGGCGGAUAUCUAAGUUGGGGGUGAAAUCCCGGGGCUCAACCUCGGAAUUGCCUUCAAAACUGGAUAUCUUGAGUUCGGGAGAGGUGAGUGGAACUCCGAGUGUAGAGGUGAAAUUCGUAGAUAUUGGGAAGAACACCGGUGGCGAAGGCGGCUCACUGGCCCGUUUCUGACGCUCAGGCGCGACAGCGUGGGGAUCAAACAGG
RNAcentral lists this ribosomal RNA (253 nucleotides) under uncultured prokaryote. RNAcentral's name for it is "partial 16S ribosomal RNA". It matches the Rfam family "Bacterial small subunit ribosomal RNA", at positions 524 to 776 of the family's 1533-position model. The record is from RNAcentral.